CCCAGGGCCACUGAAGAGAAAACUCCGCUUUUCAUUUAGCUGUCACUUGGCCCAAACCAGUCAAAGAUUCAUCAACAUCGUUGUGAAAAUGUCUUAAAUGGACAAUUCUUCUAGAAGACAAUUAAAAUAAGACAGAAAAGAUGGGCAACCGCUGAAAAAUAACUACCAUCAGAGUCUUCAAAUGGGACACAUUCCAGAGUUGCAUUCUAA
This 210-nucleotide long non-coding RNA is filed under the name Homo sapiens (human). Its description in RNAcentral is "non-protein coding lnc-LYZL2-11:1". The record is from RNAcentral. Lineage: Eukaryota; Metazoa; Chordata; Mammalia; Primates; Hominidae.